UGUCGUCAGCUCGUGUUGUGAAAUGUUGGGUUAAGUCCCGCAACGAGCGCAACCCUUAUCCUUUGUUGCCAGCGGUCCGGCCGGGAACUCAAAGGAGACUGCCAGUGAUAAACUGGAGGAAGGUGGGGAUGACGUCAAGUCAUCAUGGCCCUUACGACCAGGGCUACACACGUGCUACAAUGGCGCAUACAAAGAGAAGCGACCUCGCGAGAGCAAGCGGACCUCAUAAAGUGCGUCGUAGUCCGGAUUGGAGUCUGCAACUCGACUCCAUGAAGUCGGAAUCGCUAGUAAUCGUGGAU
RNAcentral lists this ribosomal RNA (299 nucleotides) under Escherichia coli. RNAcentral's name for it is "partial 16S ribosomal RNA". It matches the Rfam family "Bacterial small subunit ribosomal RNA", at positions 1050 to 1349 of the family's 1533-position model. RNAcentral also lists the same sequence under 1 other name. Lineage: Bacteria; Pseudomonadati; Pseudomonadota; Gammaproteobacteria; Enterobacterales; Enterobacteriaceae. The record is from RNAcentral.